Long non-coding RNA from Heterocephalus glaber (naked mole-rat), 2290 nucleotides. The record is from Ensembl. Lineage: Eukaryota; Metazoa; Chordata; Mammalia; Rodentia; Bathyergidae.
CGCGCGCGCGCGCGCGCGGGUUCUCACGCACGGUCUGCUACCCUCCUCGCCUCUCCCGCCCCUCCCACUCGGCGAGAGCUGUGGAGCCGCAGCAGCCAGCCCGCCCCGCGCCUAGCUCCCCAGCCCGGCGGGCGAUCCGCUUCCUUCAGACUGCUUCUCGCCCGGGCGCCCCCUACGAAGUUCUCCCUCCCUCACCACCCCCUGCGAGGACCUCAGGGGGCGGUCCCGGUAUGCCCGGCGCUGAUUGGCUACUCGUAAAGAGCCCCGCCCUCUGGGCACGCGCAGGAGGUGGGGCGGGCUCGAGAAGGCCGCGCGGUGCGCGGCCCCGCGGGCUUAGCCUUCGUGACCCGCGUGCUGGCUCUGGCGUCCGGGCUCCCGGGCGUCCGCGAGAAUCCCAUUAUGUAGUUCAGGCUGACCUUGAACUCACUAUGUAACCCAGACUGUCCUCUAACCCUAGAGGAUCCUCCUGCCUCAGCCUCCCAAGUACUGGGAUUACAGCAAACAGUCAUUCUCCAAGUUAUUUGUUUUGGAAAUAUUACUUCUUCCUGUAUCAGAUUUACCUUAAGGUAAUUCCAGUUCUCAUGGGCUUCCUCAAGAUGUGGAUGGCAUAAAGGACACAGAUACCAAGAAGAGCUCACCAUCAUGGCUUUCCUCACGAUAGGCUGCCCUGCUUUCUCCAGAUGAGAAGAACCUGGAAUCUAACUCCAGAAGGAGAGAUGAGCAACCCAGAACCUGCUAAUGCUUAAUUGGUGAGCCACCUUUGGAAGCAGGCUACCCAGAAACAGAAGGAGGAUCACCUUGAGUUCGAGGCCAGCCUGGGCUACAUAGUGAGUUCGAGGCCAGCCUGGACUACAUACAUAGCAAGACCCUGUCUCAAAAAGACCAAAUAAAUAAUAAAUGAAUAAAUAAAUGUCUGAAUUGGAAUUCAAAAAGAAAAGAAGAAAAGUAAUUCCGUGUUGUCCCCUAAGACAUUAUAAGAUUUAACUGAAAAGAAUCAGUUGACUGUCUUUUUCUUUUUUUCUAUGAAUAGAACAGUAAGGACAAAGAUGAACAGUAGUAUUUUUCUUCUGUGCAGUUCCCUUCCAUGUUUUGGGCAGUAGAGAAAGGGAGAGGCAAAUUUCUCCCCAGUCCCUCGUUUCUCUCCCUCUAGCAGGGUGUUUUCUGUAAUUGGCUUUCCACAUUUGCCAAGAGUCUGUUUCCUCUUAACAUCCAACAUGCUUAACAGAAGCCUUGUAAUAGUUCCAAAAAUGAUAAAACCAGACCCAAGAAUAAAAUGAUACACACGACACAUUUGUUUUGGCCAUAGCUUUGGUUAAGUUCUUUUAAAUAAUUUAGGGUUAAAUGUGGUAGAAAUAAAGAUGUUUUCUUCACAGUAAUAAGACCAAAAAGAUGCAGUCAGUGACUCGUGCAGGGUUCAGGGGAGGGGUGAGUUGUCAACACAGAGGCGGGUACAGGACCCUGUGAAAAAGAAGGCACUUCAGUAUUGUGGAUCCAUGUAUGUGUAUAUGUGCCUGUGUGCAGAUGUGGGGGUACUUCUGUGUGUGUGUGUGUGUGUGUGUGUUGCUGUGCAUUGAACACAGGGCCUUAGACAUGCUAUGCAAGUGCUCUAUUGCUGAGCUGCAUUCUCAGCUCUUUAUUUUUUGGCUUUGAGACAGGAUCUUUCUAAAUUGCACAAGCUGGCCUCAAACUUGUGAUUCUCCUGCAUCAGCCUCCUGAGUGACUGGAAUUAGAGGAGCUGAAUCUGAAACUGGGGCACCUCAUAGAGGGAUCCCUGAGCACUGGGAAACCCCCACAGAAACUGAAAGUGAGCCAAGAGUUAACUUGGGUUUGCUACAAAUGGUAUAGUAAACAUCUCACAGACACAGCAAGAAGCCCAGAGGAUAAAGGGACGGGAAAUCAGGUCCAGAGGGACUGAGGAAGUUGGAAGUCCAAAACAGGUAGAAGAGCUGAGGGUACCAAUAAUUCCUCCUGUUGCCGAGUGGCUGCAACUCAACUCAUUUUCAUUGCUGCAUGUUCUCCUCAAUGGAAAAAGACCAUGAUUCAUCCCUUCUACUGAUGGAAAUGAGGCCUGCUUCGUUUGGAGCUAUUAUAUAUGAGAUUAAAUAUCCUGGUAGCAUAUUGUGGUGCAUGCAUGAACAAGUUUCUCUAGAGCCUGUGACAAGAGAGGGAACUAUGAACUAAUGGUUAUACCAAUUUGUACUCCUCUAGUAGUGGAUGAGGAUUUCCUUUACUUCACAACCUUGCCAACAUUCAAAUACUUGUAUUUUUACAUUUUUCUUUUUUUUCCAAC